GCACUGCUGAAGAGUCCCAAAAUAGGACGAAACGGCCGCCCAGUGC
RNAcentral lists this non-coding RNA (46 nucleotides) under Schistosoma margrebowiei. The record is from RNAcentral. Lineage: Eukaryota; Metazoa; Platyhelminthes; Trematoda; Strigeidida; Schistosomatidae.